AACGAACGCUGGCGGCAUGCCUAACACAUGCAAGUCGAACGAGACCUUCGGGUCUAGUGGCGCACGGGUGCGUAACGCGUGGGAACCUGCCCUUAGGUUCGGAAUAACUCCCCGAAAGGGGUGCUAAUACCGGAUAAUGUCUUCGGACCAAAGAUUUAUCGCCUUUGGAUGGGCCCGCGUUGGAUUAGCUAGUUGGUAGGGUAAAAGCCUACCAAGGCGACGAUCCAUAGCUGGCCUGAGAGGAUGAUCAGCCACACUGGGACUGAGACACGGCCCAGACUCCUACGGGAGGCAGCAGUGGGGAAUAUUGGAAAUGGGCGAAAGCCUGAUCCAGCAAUGCCGCGUGAGUGAUGAAGGCCUUAGGGUUGUAAAGCUCUUUUACCCGGGAUGAUAAUGACAGUACCGGGAGAAUAAGCUCCGGCUAACUCCGUG
This 432-nucleotide ribosomal RNA is filed under the name uncultured bacterium. Its description in RNAcentral is "partial 16S ribosomal RNA". It matches the Rfam family "Bacterial small subunit ribosomal RNA", at positions 29 to 507 of the family's 1533-position model. The record is from RNAcentral.